RNAcentral lists this unclassified non-coding RNA (272 nucleotides) under uncultured bacterium. RNAcentral's name for it is "contains 16S-23S intergenic spacer region". The record is from RNAcentral.
ACCUCAAGUUACUGGUUAAAAUAUUAUGGUGUUGCUGCUGGGAUACAGAUUUUAAGUCCCUCCACCAAGGAGAGAUGUGUGCACUGUUUCUACCAUAUAGUAAGGAGUGCCAUCCUCCGUAUUUGGACAAUAAGAUUCUUGCCCAAAGCUGAUGCUGAUUAUUCGCCAAGUUCCAGCCCCAUUUACCAAGCAAGGCUACAUUAAACUUGUUCAAAUCUUUAAUUCCUAACCCCCCUCUGCUCUUAGGGAGGCAGACUAUGUCCCAUUUGACC